CAACCCUCAAGCUCUGCUUGGUAUUGGGUGUCACUUAAAUGGUGCAUCUUAAAAUCAGUGGCGGUGCCAUCUGGCUUCCAAGUGUAGUAAUAUUUCUUGCUUUGGGAGCUUUGAGAUGUGUGCUUGCCAACAAUCCUCUAAUUUAUCAAA
RNAcentral lists this unclassified non-coding RNA (150 nucleotides) under uncultured Helotiales. RNAcentral describes it as "sequence contains ITS2". The record is from RNAcentral. Lineage: Eukaryota; Fungi; Ascomycota; Leotiomycetes; Helotiales.